Molecule: unclassified non-coding RNA, 266 nt
Filed under: Hevea brasiliensis (rubber tree)
Lineage: Eukaryota; Viridiplantae; Streptophyta; Magnoliopsida; Malpighiales; Euphorbiaceae
Source: RNAcentral
CGAUUACAAGCAGUUGGAGGGGAGGUAGGAGAUGAACUAAUUAUUCUUUUUCUUUUUCUUUUUCUUAGUCCAUAUAGUUGUAAUUUUUGCAUGAUACAACUCAUUUGGAAACAACUUAUUGUAUGAAUCUUUUGUGAGAUUAGCUGUUACUUUCACCUAUUUACCUGCCUGCUUAACCUCUAUUGAUCAUUUUGAGGUUGUUUCCGCGCAGUCUGUACAUACUUUUUCCAGAGUUAAUUUUUUUAAAGCUAAAUACUCUUGUUUUC